GAUAAACGCUGGCGGCGUGCCUAACACAUGCAAGUCGAACGUCCUCUCUCGCAAGAGAGAGGGAGUGGCGGACGGGUGAGUAACACAUGGGUCACCUACCCUUAAGUGAGGAAUACCGGCGAGAAAUCGCCGACAAGACCGCAUAGGCUCUCUCUUUUGCAAGAGAGAGCAAAGCUUCGCAAGAGGCGCUUGAGGAUGGGCCUGUGGCCGAUUAGCUGGUGGUAGGGUAAUGGCUUACCAAGGCGACGAUCGGUAGCUGGUCUGAGAGGACGAUCAGCCACACUGGGAUUGAGAACGGCCCAGACU
Molecule: ribosomal RNA, 306 nt
Filed under: uncultured bacterium
Lineage: Bacteria
Description: bacterial SSU rRNA
Rfam family: Bacterial small subunit ribosomal RNA
Source: RNAcentral